GAAAUUUGUUGAAUUCCUUGGCUGUGUCAUUAGGCCAUGAGCUAAGAGUCAUGUAGACAAAAUGAUGAUGGUUACAAUUUGUCUAGCUCAAAGGUUUCACUCAUUUUAAAGAUGAUGGUUGAUGUGAUGUAUACUUGUGGGUUUUAAUCAAUCUUUGUUCCAUAUGCUGAUAUCAGCUUGCUCAUUUUCUUGAGUUCUGAAAACUUUUUUUCUCUUAUUAUUUUCCUAUUUGUCUUGUUUACUUUUGAUAAGUGCGGACUGUUACUCCUCUCUCUCUCUCUUGAACUUCAAAUGAAAGUAGAUGAAACUGGAAGCUGAUUUUUGUGUUUCUUUCUCUUCUUUUUCAUGGAAAAUUAGUUUCUUACUUUCCGAUGCUUAUGAAUUAUGCAUUUGAUUUGGUCAUAUGAGUUCUUUCUUAUAUACAACUUUUGAAUUUUUUUUCUUGCAAAUGAUUUAUU
This 458-nucleotide unclassified non-coding RNA is filed under the name Hevea brasiliensis (rubber tree). The record is from RNAcentral. Lineage: Eukaryota; Viridiplantae; Streptophyta; Magnoliopsida; Malpighiales; Euphorbiaceae.